Folsomia candida is the source of this 423-nucleotide long non-coding RNA. RefSeq lists it as uncharacterized. The record is from RefSeq and is a predicted model, not a curated record. The transcript has 4 exons. NCBI's taxonomy places the organism in Eukaryota, Metazoa, Arthropoda, Collembola, Entomobryomorpha, Isotomidae.
AAAGAAACGUAGCAUCCUGACGAAUAUGUAAACAUAUGUAUAUUUCAACCAGAAGGAGCAAUUAACCCAGCAUGAACUUACCCUGUUGUUGUUAGACAUGAAAUGUAACAGAAACGAGAUGACCACGAAAUCCAGCCAAUUCCAAGCAUCUCUUAAAUAAGUAAAUUUUUCCAAGAUAAACCCUCUCGCCAUGACCUUCACCGCUGAUUCGAAAGUGAGGGUGGUCCUUACUCUGUUGACUCUGUGAGUGGUGAAGCUGGCAAAAUCAUGACGUAACAAUUGGUAAGAAUGGUUGUGAUGAUAACGACAGAAAAUAAACCAUUCAUUUGAUAAGUCACACAUGAAAAUAAUUUACCAGGAUUGAAAGGAUCAAGCAGCCAUACAGCCUUCGUUGCAGAGAAACGGAAAAUGUCUUUCUUUUUG